UAACCACUAUAGACUGGUCAUUUCUGCUUCCCCCUUUAGACAAUCAGAAGCAUUUUCUUCAUUACACAGCACAUUUGAGAUAUUCACAUACUUGUGCAUAGCUGCGAGAUAUUUACUUACAUUGCUUAUCAUCUCCCAUUGUGUGAGUUAUAGCACCAUGUUUAUUUAGAGAUGGGCACUCGGGCUGUUUCCAGCUUUUGGCCGUGAGCAUUCUUGUGCUGUCAUGUGGCUCUUGUUAUUAUGGGAAAUGAACAUGUUUGGGGACAAACAUGUCAGAACUGUGAGGGAGAAACUUGGCAGUGAGGCAAACUGUGUGAUAUGCUUGACAAGAAUUGAGAAACAGCACACCUCAGAAACUCAGCUUCUCCGCGGCUUCUGGUUCAGAGACAUGAGUCAGAAGCCACACAAGGGGAAGCACCCUGCAGCUCUCUCUCCGAAUGUCUCUACUAAGGAGCCAGCAGCGGCCGUUUCCGGCGCACAGCAAGAGGUGGCAUCUGAGGGAAAGCCAGCCUAGCUCUGUUCCACCAGGCGAGACAGGAAGUGAAAGAGAGAACAUUUGUCCUUCACAAGGAGAAGAGUUGGGGCAAAUUGUCUGAAAGGCAAAUAUCUAUAAUGAUGGGGCAAUGAGAAACUCCUAGUGGCGGGAAACAGACGUGCCUUGGCACACACAUGGAGAUUUUUUUAUCCCUGGGGUUUGCUUAACCCCUGUCUUUGAAAGUUUGCCUUUUUCGAGAAUAAACAUGGUUUAAUAGUGAG
Mastomys coucha (southern multimammate mouse) is the source of this 756-nucleotide long non-coding RNA. RefSeq lists it as uncharacterized. The record is from RefSeq and is a predicted model, not a curated record. Lineage: Eukaryota; Metazoa; Chordata; Mammalia; Rodentia; Muridae. The transcript is spliced from 2 exons.